CGCGCGAGCACGCCGGUUCUGUUUGAAACACUCUCGCGGCGGCCCAAUAACCGAGCAGACAACAGGCGACAGGAAAGAGAAGAAUUGGCGAUCACAAGGAGGAUCUACGCCAAAAGCCACAUGAUCACCGACGUCAGAGUUGUGCUGGCGAUGCAGCUAUCAUAGGGCAAGCGAGAAGCACGAAGUCGGAGUCAGAAACAAUGAGAGGACAGGACAUCAGCAUCAUGAAUCGUCCAGCUAGAGAGACCCUGGUGUUGCAUCUGUGCUCCUGUGUUCUGGCAAAUUAGCUCAUUGAUACAGAUUCCUAGAGUCUGAUGGAGCGGCCACUGUAAUAAUCAAAAACACACACGUACAGUAGAUGGAUGCUGAGUCCUGUCCUGAGGAGCCGGCUCUCCUGUGCUGCGUCAUCUGUCUGAGAAGCCGACGUCUGUUUUUUCUUUCUAUUCAUCGUUUCAAACCCAGCAACAGACUGAAGCGGAAAUGUUCCAUGCUCAAGGACACCGGCAGAGCAACCGAGUCUGUGCAUCUGUAUAUAGGAGAGAUCAAACAAGCUUGUUUUUUUUAACAUCCCAUUUCUGAGUCAUCAUCAGUCAUGUUGGCACCUUAGAGUCUGGUAAAAAUAGACACGCAGGACAAGAACAACAGUGACAACAGAAGCUCCAUAAAACCUGUUUGAUAUUCACGUAGAAGCUUCUGUUAAAACCAAGCCGUAACUUAACAAUUACUGUUGUUAUUAUUCUAUUUAGGUUAAAUGUGUGAAUGUGUGGCAGUUGUGGCACGUCUCAGGAUGAUGCAGCGACCUGACGGGAGUGUGACCCAUGGGAGCUCAUACCUGCCUCCUGAAUCAACUGUGUGAAAUUACUUUCCCCUAAACUAAAGUCUGGCUGUUGGAUGAUAAACUUGUUUCCUCAGCUGAGCACCGCUGACCCCUUCUCACACAUAAGCAGUCAGAUGGAGGAUGGUGGAGGUAGUUCUAAGUAGAAGCAUUGCUCCUUUGAUUUGAAAAGGCGGUUCAGGCGUCUGAUUAGAAUCCCCCCACAAAAGUGCAGCAAUGUGACGUUUACCUUAGUUCGGCUCCAGUCCUUGAAAGCAACCUGUGCACAGCAACAAUGCUGCCUUUGUGGCUCACCGAGCGCAGCAGGAAUGCUGGACGUGAAGCAGCCAUGACGCCUGCGUCGCUCUGUCACCGAGGCGACGCUUCCUCCUCUCACACAUGACAUUUGCACGUGCGCCUUCUUCGGUUUCAGCGUGCAUCUGUCUGGUUUACAUAGAUAUGAUGCAUUCAGGCUCCUUGGUCUGUAAUCAAAGAAUAAGAGGCCGACGUGGUGUAAGCUGUUGCAGUGUGCCGGGUUUCCCCUCUCAUUUCUGUGUGUAUAGUGUUUCAAAGAGCCUCCGCUGGCUUGUCUGCCUGGAAUUUAACAGCCAGCAUCAAAAUGAAGGAAAGACUUUAGUAAAUAGUUUGGAUCAGGGCUGCAUUGUAGUGUUUGGGAGCAAGGCUAUAAUUUCCUACACAAUGCUGCAUCUUCACAGCAUUUCUCCACCUUGUUGUGUUGCCUGGUUCUGUAUAUAUUUCUCAUGGAAAUAUAUACGGAACGGUUUCUCCGUCUUCCUCUCUCCUCUGUCAUUUGGAAGCCACAGCAUUUUUUGGUGAUUUAUCUGUUUGUCUGUGUUAUUGUUCUGGUCCCUGAUCACAGAUGUCUCAGCAUCAUUUUAAAGUUUCAACUUUCACAUCCUAUUUCAGUGUUUCUGGUACGGGGGGGGGGACAAAGCCAGUGUACAUUUCGUCAGCUUAGGCAUAUAAGAAAAAAAACAACCCAGUAAGGCUUAAAAUGUUACAAAUUACCGUGGGAUACAGAACAAAACCAGCACCAGGGUUCUGCUUCACCGACUGGCUUCCUUUCCUCUUCCUUUCCCACUCCUCCCUCAGUCAUUUUAACUCUUCCCUCUCACCUCAUGUGACCUUUCGGCGUCUCUCUUCUUUUAUCAUUCCCAUAUCCCUCCUUUCACUCCCUGGGUCUUUCUCAUCUACACCACACUAUACUGUGGCGACCUCCACGCCACAAAAGUCUUUAAUUAUUAUACCAACAUCACACAAUAAUACAGUCUGUACUAAAUGCAAGAUGAAAAGAUGCAAAUGUACAAACAUGAAAAGAAAGCGUCUCUCCUCACAUCUUGUUCUGCUUACAGUCUCCCUCUCCUUUUCUUCUUCUGUCUGCACAAACCCAAACAUGAGCCUUCCAGCUGGGUGUGUUGCGUGUAAAGGAAAGUUAAUUGGGCUAAAGUGGCUUAAGGACUCCACUGACUAAUGGUGUCCGUUUACAGCGAAGGAGUGAAUGGAGGCACUGCUGCGACCGCACCCUGAGCCGGUCAACUUGAAUCGGACUCACCUGAGGAGCAGGAUUUAUUCCAGCUUGAUUCACUCAGACUUUAACUGAAUGACUGACCCAUCGUCGGAGACGCGGCUUCGAUACUGGACAGUGAGACCAGUCAAUGGGUGUAGUCACUGGAGGGGAAAAUUGUUUGAUGCCCUGCAGAGCUACCUGACAUCACGCUGUUUGCUGUUUCAUAACAAAUUCAUUUGGCUGGUCAUUGAGGACACCGGCACUCUGCUCAGACCCAGCACGGCUCUUUUAGGUCCACCAGUCCCACAGAAAUGUCUUAAUACGGUUCUAUACUAUCUAUACAGAGCAAAGCUAAGAGAUGGUGGAUCUGUGAAACACACAAAGAUGCUGACAUGGAUAAAACGGACUGGGCACACAGUCCCUUCAGGCCCCUUUGUGAAGACACACACACUGCUGCUGAACGCACAGCAUCUGUGAACACACAGUGUUGCCUCCUCAAGGUAAAGCCAGAGUAAAGUAAUAGCUCCGCUCCACAGAAACAGCAACAGAGGUUAGAAAAACCUGGCAAACCUCACACAAUAAUGCGACAGAUGUACAGCGUCUUGCCAGCUGAGACCCAUUUGUGAGACACAUGGAUGAAUUUCACCCACGUUCCCAUUGGUUGAUGGGAUGGGUGCUAUAGUAUAAUAUCUCAUUGUUAUUUCCUGCUGUCUGUGUAGUUCUGGGCAUACUGAUCCAUUCACCCUAACACCAGCCUUGACCUGCCUUGUCAAGUCCUAAUACUUUCCUAGAUAACACAGUUGCACAAUCGCACAUUUGUGUCAAGGGCCGAUAAGAUCAGAGUAUUAGCACUUACUAGGAUAUUCACAAGCCCAAACUGAAACCUAAUCCCUCAUAAAUCUUCCUGGCGAUCAGAGGCUGUCGGCUGCUGCUGAGUACGGUGUUCCUGUAAAUGUGCCCACAGUAAGCCUCCUCCUUUCUAGUGGUGGGUGCGUAGGCCUGUGUGGGUGCAACGGUCAGAGGAGUCUUCCCUUUCCCCACCUCCGUUGGAGCUGUCGCUUGGUCAGCCGCUGUCCCCGCGCUGACCUCAAAUAACAUCUGCACAUCUGGAGCUGCUCUGAGAAGGUGAACCACAGCGCUGCUACCUACCAGCAUCUGCAGCAACUGAGAGCGGCAGUGGUCAGCCUCUGGAUGCCCCGAUGUCACCUUAACAAACACAUGGACCUCAAAUGGAUUUGUUGUCAGAACCAAAGAUGUCACUAGGACAAGAAAACGAAUGGAGCAACAAAAGGUAUUAGUUUCCUAAAUCAUAUAAAUGAUUGUACGUCACAACCUCUGGGGAGGACAGGCAGUCACGCCUGUCUUUUACUCAGACUUACCUAUGCACUAAUAUUAUAACUACUGCACUGAUGCAGUGGCUUGUACAAGUAUUCAUGGUCCUCGGUUGAUGAGGCUUUUAACUUUUUCAUUUACAUUCCAGUUUGUUUCAGCAACCUUGUCUGUUUCUGUGAAAGGCUGUGGAAAAGGCGCGAUGUGCAUCAGAGGUCAGAGGUCAUGCUCAGUCCUUCGUCAAUGGGUGGUCUAACAGGAUGUGAAGUCCAAAUGAUUCAAUACGAGUUCACCCUUGGGGAACCACAACCAAUCAGAGGUUCAAACACCAGUGACUAGGAGAACAUGAAUUGACAAAGCGUGUGUGUGUGUGUGUGUGUGUGUGUGUGUGUGUGUGUGUGUGUGUGUGUGUGUGUGUGUGUGUGUGUGUGGAUGGUGACAUCAUCUGGAUGUGAAAGGCAGUUAAAACAACUAACUGAUUAACUGAUGCAUCACGAUGAACGCACGUUGUGAAAAACAAACACACUUGCGCGUUGUAGGAAACCUUUUGAUCGUUUAACUGAGAUAUGAUUUCCCAGUUUGCCGUAAUGAACAUAAACAUAUGACUAACGAAGAAAAGCGAUGAAAAACUAUAUAGUCUAGAGUUUGGAAAAUCAUGACUCAUGUUAUUAAGAGACUCAAUGCCGUCUAAAAUCUGACAACAUGGUAAACUCACUUAUUUUUAUUUUCUCAGAGAAUGUGGAUUAAAGCAUCUUUUGAUCUACUGUAGCAUGCUGAAAUCCCCUCAGUCCUCAUUAUACCCAUGCAGCCAUGGGGAUAUAACCAUUUCCAAACCCUCGGUGGACUGAGGGUCAGACUGUGGGGGUUUUGUUCAGUCUGAGUGUGUAUCCUGAUGCCGUACAGGGUG
Betta splendens (Siamese fighting fish) is the source of this 4578-nucleotide long non-coding RNA. RefSeq lists it as uncharacterized. The transcript is spliced from 4 exons. NCBI's taxonomy places the organism in Eukaryota, Metazoa, Chordata, Actinopteri, Anabantiformes, Osphronemidae. The record is from RefSeq and is a predicted model, not a curated record.